ACGUAGGAGGCAAGCGUUAUCCGGAAUUAUUGGGCGUAAAGAGUGCGUAGGUGGUUUUUUAAGCGUGAGGUGAAAGGCAAUAGCUUAACUAUUGUAAGCCUUGCGAACUGGAAGACUUGAGUAUAGGUGAGGAAAGUGGAAUUCCUAGUGUAGCGGUGAAAUGCUUAGAUAUUAGAAAGAACACCAAUGGCGAAGGCGGCUUUCUGGACUGUAACUGACGCUGAGGCACGAAAGCGUGGGGAUCAAACAG
RNAcentral lists this ribosomal RNA (250 nucleotides) under uncultured prokaryote. Its description in RNAcentral is "partial 16S rRNA". It matches the Rfam family "Bacterial small subunit ribosomal RNA", at positions 525 to 775 of the family's 1533-position model. The record is from RNAcentral.